GAUGGUGAGGGCAGUCUGGCGGUGACAUCUGUUACCCUGUUGGUCUUCAGGAUUGAUUUGGCUGGCUACGUAAGUGGCUCUUCUCACCUUGUCACGUGCAUUUUUCCUAAAGUAUUGCCCUUGGCUAAAGAAGAUGUCCUAUUUAGAUCACAGAGGGCUAUUCUUUAUUUAAGGUAUCUGAAUUAGAAUCUUAUAGCCAAGGUUCAUAAUUAUACAGUUUUCUGAGGGGUAGUCUAUUUUAGGCAGUAGCUACUUUAUACUAAAUUAAGCCUAUUUGAAAUAGGCAGCCCAUUUUU
Unclassified non-coding RNA from Ictidomys tridecemlineatus (thirteen-lined ground squirrel), 296 nucleotides. Its record names the gene 7SK. It matches the Rfam family "7SK RNA". Rfam says of the family: 7SK was discovered as an abundant small nuclear RNA in the mid-70s but a possible function has only recently been suggested. Two independent studies have found that 7SK RNA binds the CDK9/cyclin T complex (known as elongation factor P-TEFb). NCBI's taxonomy places the organism in Eukaryota, Metazoa, Chordata, Mammalia, Rodentia, Sciuridae. The record is from Ensembl.